Molecule: ribosomal RNA, 371 nt
Filed under: uncultured bacterium
Lineage: Bacteria
Description: bacterial SSU rRNA
Rfam family: Bacterial small subunit ribosomal RNA
Source: RNAcentral
GGAGGAGGCAAGCGUUAUCCGGAAUUAUUGGGCGUAAAGCGUCCGCAGGUGGCUUCUCAAGUCGGCGGUGAAAGGCUGGGGCUCAACCCCAGACCAGCCGUGGAAACUGAGGAGCUAGAGUGUGGUAGGGGUAGAGGGAAUUCCCAGUGUAGCGGUGAAAUGCGUAGAGAUUGGGAAGAACACCGGUGGCGAAAGCGCUCUACUGGACCACAACUGACACUCAGGGACGAAAGCUAGGGGAGCGAAAGGGAUUAGAUACCCCUGUAGUCCUAGCUGUAAACGAUGGAUACUAGGCGUGGCUGGUGGUCACUCCAGCCGUGCCGAAGCCAACGCGUUAAGUAUCCCGCCUGGGGAGUACGUGCGCAAGCAUG